GGACCCAAUACAGUGCCUUCUUAGCUCCCCUGAGAAGCAAGCUGAAGAGCGGCCCCAAGUGACAACUGUGGGACUCACGGCUGGGCCUUGCCCCCCACACCAGCACCGCCUGGGAUGAAUCACACACCAGAGAACAACGGGGCUAUUUCUUGAGAGUCAUUUGUCAAGUUGACAUCCCUGCCUAGAGUUAUUUAGGGCUUUCUAAAGACACUUUUUUCCCUCCCCGUUGCAGGAAGCACCUGCGAGGCUGUUGAGUUGUGGUUUUGCUCAAUAGCACUUUGAUAUCCCUUUAAGGCCAUCAAUUACCCUUCUGUCCUUGCCGGCAUGGGCUUUGCCUGAUACAAAGAUAGGAAAGCUUAAAGAGGAUGAUGAAGAGGAAGAUGACGAUGGGCCUCAAUGUAACGUGACUGGUGCCCUUAUAAAAGAGGAGGUGAAGACAGACACACACAGAAGGAAGACAAUUAGAAGACACAAGAAGGAAACAGCCAUCUACAUGCCAAGAGGAGAGAGAGGCCUCAAGGAAACCAACUCUGCUGAUACCUCCAUCUUGGACUUUUAGCCUCUAGAACUCUCACCAGGGUCUCCUGUUUUGGCCUCAUCUAUGAAACCUGAUGUGU
This is a long non-coding RNA of Lontra canadensis (Northern American river otter), 617 nucleotides long. RefSeq lists it as uncharacterized. The transcript has 3 exons. NCBI's taxonomy places the organism in Eukaryota, Metazoa, Chordata, Mammalia, Carnivora, Mustelidae. The record is from RefSeq and is a predicted model, not a curated record.